This 254-nucleotide ribosomal RNA is filed under the name uncultured bacterium. RNAcentral describes it as "partial 16S ribosomal RNA". It matches the Rfam family "Bacterial small subunit ribosomal RNA", at positions 524 to 776 of the family's 1533-position model. The record is from RNAcentral.
CACGUAGGGUGCGAGCGUUGUCCGGAAUUAUUGGGCGUAAAGAGCUCGUAGGCGGUCUGUCGCGUCGGUCGUGAAAACUUGGGGCUUAACCCUGAGCUUGCGGUCGAUACGGGCAUGACUGGAGUUCGGCAGGGGAGACUGGAAUUCCCGGUGUAGCGGUGGAAUGCGCAGAUAUCAGGAGGAACACCGGUGGCGAAGGCGGGUCUCUGGGCAGUAACUGACGCUGAGGAGCGAAAGCGUGGGGAGCGAACAGG